RNAcentral lists this ribosomal RNA (373 nucleotides) under uncultured organism. RNAcentral describes it as "partial 16S ribosomal RNA". It matches the Rfam family "Bacterial small subunit ribosomal RNA", at positions 527 to 896 of the family's 1533-position model. The record is from RNAcentral.
GUAGGUGGCAAGCGUUGUUCGGAAUUAUUGGGCGUAAAGCGCGCGCAGGCGGUUCUUUAAGUCUGAUGUGAAAGCCCACGGCUCAACCGUGGAGGGUCACUGGAAACUGGAGAACUUGAGUACAGAAGAGGAAAGCGGAAUUCCACGUGUAGCGGUGAAAUGCGUAGAGAUGUGGAGGAACACCAGUGGCGAAGGCGGCUUUCUGGUCUGUAACUGACGCUGAGGCGCGAAAGCGUGGGGAGCAAACAGGGAUUAGAUACCCUGGUAGUCCACGCCGUAAACGAUGAGUGCUAAGUGUUAGGGGGUUUCCGCCCCCUUAGUGCUGCAGCUAACGCAUUAAGCACUCCGCCUGGGGAGUACGGCCGCAAGGCUG